AUGCUUUACGGCUUAGAAUCGGGGCUUCAAAGACGUUUUGAACGCCACGGAGCAUAUGAGAUGUUCCAAGAGUUGAAAUUAGUAUUUCAGACUCAUGCCCAUGUCGAAAGGUAUGAGACCUUUGACAAGCACUUUGCCUACAAGAUGGAGGAGAAUUGCUCAGCUAGGGAGCAUGUGCUCAGAAUGUGGCACCCCGGCUCAGAGAAACCGGAACGCCCCGUAUUCCAGCCCAGAGAUCGAGAUGAAGUCUUCUGGAAUACGGCACUGCUUAGCAUAGAACAAACCAGCUUUCUAUUAUUACACGAAUCUGAAUACAAGGUCUCCGAUAUUAUAAUGAAUAACAUCGGCACAGCGACACUACGCCAUCCUCAGUUGCUCUAUGCAAGCAGUAGAACAACUCGAAGCAGUGGAAUAACUCUAGCAGCGGAACAACGACGACGGUGGUGA
RNAcentral lists this ribosomal RNA (447 nucleotides) under Triticum aestivum (bread wheat). RNAcentral's name for it is "partial small subunit ribosomal RNA". Lineage: Eukaryota; Viridiplantae; Streptophyta; Magnoliopsida; Poales; Poaceae. The record is from RNAcentral.